Molecule: ribosomal RNA, 253 nt
Filed under: uncultured bacterium
Lineage: Bacteria
Description: partial 16S ribosomal RNA
Rfam family: Bacterial small subunit ribosomal RNA
Source: RNAcentral
UACAGAGGUCUCAAGCGUUGCUCGGAAUUACUGGGCGUAAAGCGCACGUAGGCGGCUUUGUAAGUUAGAGGUGAAAGCCCGGGGCUCAACUCCGGAACUGCCUUUAAGACUGCAUCGCUUGAAUCCGGGAGAGGUGAGUGGAAUUCCGAGUGUAGAGGUGAAAUUCGUAGAUAUUCGGAAGAACACCAGUGGCGAAGGCGGCUCACUGGACCGGUAUUGACGCUGAGGUGCGAAAGCGUGGGGAGCAAACAGG